CCUACGGGAGGCAGCAGUGGGGAAUAUUGGGCAAUGGGCGAAAGCCUGACCCAGCAACGCCGCGUGAAGGAAGAAGGCUUUCGGGGUGUAAACUUCUUUUUACAGGGAAGAGCAGAAGACGGUACCUGUCGAAUAAGCCACGGCUAACUACGUGCCAGCAGCCGAGGUAAUACGUAGGUGGCAAGCGUUGUCCGGAUUUACUUGGUGUAAAGGGCGUGUAGCCGGGCUGACCAGUCAGAUGGGAAAUCCGGGGGCUCAACCCCCGAACUGCAUUUGAAACUGUUGGUCUUGAGUAUCGGAGAGGCAGGCGGAAUUCCUAGUGUAGCGGUGAAAUGCGUAGAUAUUAGGAGGAACACCAGUGGCGAAGGCGGCCUACUGGACGGUGACUGACGCUGAGGCUCGAAAGCGUGGGGAGCAAACAGGAUUAGAUACCCGUGUAGUC
RNAcentral lists this ribosomal RNA (442 nucleotides) under uncultured bacterium. RNAcentral's name for it is "partial 16S ribosomal RNA". It matches the Rfam family "Bacterial small subunit ribosomal RNA", at positions 338 to 795 of the family's 1533-position model. The record is from RNAcentral.